RNAcentral lists this ribosomal RNA (420 nucleotides) under uncultured bacterium. RNAcentral describes it as "bacterial SSU rRNA". It matches the Rfam family "Bacterial small subunit ribosomal RNA", at positions 356 to 773 of the family's 1533-position model. The record is from RNAcentral.
GAGGAAUAUUGGUCAAUGGGCGAGAGCCUGAACCAGCCAAGUCGCGUGAAGGAAGACUGUCCUAUGGAUUGUAAACUUCUUUUGUACGGGAAUAAAGUGGGCUACGUGUAGCCUUUUGUAUGUACCGUACGAAUAAGGAUCGGCUAACUCCGUGCCGGCAGCCGCGGUAAUACGGAGGAUCCGAGCGUUAUCCGGAUUUAUUGGGUUUAAAGGGUGCGUAGGUGGGUUGAUAAGUCAGUGGUGAAAGUUUGCAGCUUAACUGUAAAAUUGCCGUUGAAACUGUCGGUCUUGAGUGCAAAUAAGGUAGGCGGAAUGCGUCGUGUAGCGGUGAAAUGCUUAGAUAUCACACAGAAUAUCGAUUGCGAAGGCAGCUCACAAAGCUAAUAUUGACGCUGAUGCACGAAAGUGUGGGGAUCAAAC